GCCAGCGUAGCUCAGUGGUAGAGCAGUGUCUUCAUAAGGCAUUUGUCGCAGGUCCGAUCCCUGCCGCUGGCACUA
Molecule: transfer RNA, 75 nt
Filed under: Candidatus Gottesmanbacteria bacterium RIFOXYB1_FULL_47_11
Lineage: Bacteria; Candidatus Gottesmaniibacteriota
Description: tRNA-Met
Rfam family: tRNA
About the family: Transfer RNA (tRNA) molecules are approximately 80 nucleotides in length.
Source: RNAcentral